RNAcentral lists this ribosomal RNA (115 nucleotides) under Escherichia coli. The record is from RNAcentral. RNAcentral also lists the same sequence under 38 other names. Lineage: Bacteria; Pseudomonadati; Pseudomonadota; Gammaproteobacteria; Enterobacterales; Enterobacteriaceae.
UGGCGGCCUUAGCGCGGUGGUCCCACCUGACCCCAUGCCGAACUCAGAAGUGAAACGCCGUAGCGCCGAUGGUAGUGUGGGGUCUCCCCAUGCGAGAGUAGGGAACUGCCAGGUA